This 1351-nucleotide long non-coding RNA is filed under the name Homo sapiens (human). RNAcentral's name for it is "PREDICTED lncRNA (TCONS_00232140)". Lineage: Eukaryota; Metazoa; Chordata; Mammalia; Primates; Hominidae. The record is from RNAcentral.
CUCGUUCUGACUCCGGGAGGCUAUAUAAGGAGCUACUGGCUGCGCACUUCGGUCUUUUACGUCGGCCUUCGCGAGCGUCUGGGCGGGUGGUAGGAACAAUGGCGCUGUCUUCAGUGGCACAGUGGAGCAGCUCUGAAGAUGCAAAGAUACACGAAAAAACUUCCAGAACAUCUGGGAGAAUAUUUAAUGGAAAAUCGCUUGGUUAAAACCUGACACUUUUAACAGUGAACAGCGUUCUGAGUGUGGACGAGUAGCCAGUGAAGAUAAUGAAUGUCGAAUGUGACUGACUAGCAGCUUCAUUUUGAAUGAGGGUCGCUGUCUGCCCAUUGAUAGAGGCCAGAUUGUCUUGGAAGUUCCAAAGUUGCAACGAUUUCUGGCUAGUGCCACGAGGUUUACUUGACUGUUGUGUGAAAAGCUGAUAAGAAAACCAUCCAGAAAAAAGCUCUUCGUUUUACAAACAUGAAAAUAAAACAUUUAGUUGAAUCCAUGGACAUGAAACCCACAGAUAUAGAGGGUUGGCCCGGUGCAGUGGCUCACGCCUGUAAUCCCAGCACUUUGGGAGGCCAAGGCGGGUGGAUCACCUGAGGUCAGAAGCUUGAGACCAGCCUGGCCAACAUGGUAAAACCCCAUCUCUACUAAUAAUACAAAACAAUUUGCUGGGCAUGGUGGUGCACGCUUGUAAUCCAAGCUACUCCAGAGGCUGAGGCAGAAGAAUCGCUUGAAUCCGAGAGGCAAAGGUUGCAGUGAGCCCAGAUCACACCACUGCUCUCCAACCUGGGCAACAAGAGCAAAACUCCGUCAAAAAAAAAAGAUACAGGGUCAACUGUACACAUUAAACACUUCUAUCAACUAGUGAUGUCAGUCUUGUCCAUUGUAUUAUUGCCUAUCUUACUAAACAGUCAUAUUUCAGGAAGUACAAUAUACUCAAAAACUAAGUUAAUGUUCUUUGUAGAUUUAUGGUUAAUGGAUGAUUCAUAUAAUAGAAACUUAAAUUUAUUUGACCAUUCUAUUUAAUAUAGAAUAAAUACAACUAGCCAGGCAUGGUGGCUCAUGUCUAUAAUGCCAGCACUUGGGGAGGCCAAGGUGGGAGGCUCACUUGAGCAUAGGAAUUCAAGGCCAGCCUGGGCAACACAAUGUGAGACCCGUCUCUAUGAAAAUUUUAAAAAUUAGCCAAGCAUGGUAACACAAGUCUGUGGUCCCAGCUACUUGGGAGGCUGAGGCGCGAGAAGUCCAGGAGGUCAACGCUGCAGUGAGCUGUGUGUGUGCCACUGCAUCCUAGCCUGGGCAACAGAGCAAGACCCUGUCUCAAAAAUAAAGAAUAAAUACAACCUAUUAAGCUUGAGAGAUCCAG